RNAcentral lists this ribosomal RNA (584 nucleotides) under uncultured bacterium. Its description in RNAcentral is "partial 16S ribosomal RNA". It matches the Rfam family "Bacterial small subunit ribosomal RNA", at positions 355 to 1375 of the family's 1533-position model. The record is from RNAcentral.
UGGGGAAUUUUGGACAAUGGGCGAAAGCCUGAUCCAGCAAUGCCGCGUGUGUGAAGAAGGCCUUCGGGUUGUAAAGCACUUUUGUCCGGAAAGAAAUCCUUGGCUCUAAUACAGUCGGGGGAUGACGGUACCGGAAGAAUAAGCACCGGCUAACUACGUGCCAGCAGCCGCGGUAAUACGUAGGGUGCAAGCGUUAAUCGGAAUUACUGGCGUAAAGCGUGCGCAGGCGGUUUGCUAAGACCGAUGUGAAAUCCCCGGGCUCAACCUGGGAACUGCAUUGGUGACUGGCAGGCUAGAGUAUGGCAGAGGGGGGUAGAAUUCCACGUGUAGCAGUGAAAUGCGUAGAGAUGUGGAGGAAUACCGAUGGCGAAGGCAGCCCCCUGGGCCAAUACUGACGCUCAUGCACGAAAGCGUGGGGAGCAAACAGGAUUAGAUACCCUGGUAGUCCACGCCCUAAACGAUGUCAACUAGUUGUUGGGGAUUCAUUUCCUUAGUAACGUAGCUAACGCGUGAAGUUGACCACCUGGGGAGUACGGUCGCAAGAUUAAAACUCAAAUGAAUUGACGGGGUCAUAGCUGUUUCCU